Molecule: RNA transcript, 491 nt
Organism: Mandrillus leucophaeus (drill)
Lineage: Eukaryota; Metazoa; Chordata; Mammalia; Primates; Cercopithecidae
Gene name: Ig kappa chain V-III region VG-like
Exons: 2
Source: RefSeq, a predicted model, not a curated record
GGGGAGGAACUGCUCAGUUAGGACCCAGAGGGAACCAUGGAAGCCCCAGCACAGCUUCCCUUCCUCCUGCUGCUCUGGCUCCCAGAUACCACCGGAGAAACAGUGUUGACGCAGUCUCCAGCCACCUUGUAUUUGUCUCCAGGGGAAAGAGCCACCCUCUCCUGCAGGGCCAGUCAGAGUGUUGGCAGCUACUUAGCCUGGUACCAGCAGAAACCUGGGCAGGCUCCCAGGCUCCUCAUCUGUGGUGCAUCCAGCAGGGCCGCUGGCAUCCCAGCCAGGUUCAGUGGCAGCGGGUCUGGGACAGACUUCACUCUCACCAUCAGCAGCCUGGAGCCUGAAGAUUUUGCAGUUUAUUUCUGUCUGCAGCGAGAAACUGGCCUCACACAGCGAUUCAACCUGAAACAAAAACCUCAACAAAACCAUCAGUGUUUACUAGAUUAUACCAGCUGCUUCCUUUACUGACAGCUAGUGUGGUGGACACUCAGUUUUAG